ACGAACGCUGGCGGCGUGCCUAAUACAUGCAAGUAGAACGCUGAAGAGAGGAGCUUGCUCUUCUUGGAUGAGUUGCGAACGGGUGAGUAACGCGUAGGUAACCUGCCUUGUAGCGGGGGAUAACUAUUGGAAACGAUAGCUAAUACCGCAUAACAAUGGAUGACACAUGUCAUUUAUUUGAAAGGGGCAAAUGCUCCACUACAAGAUGGACCUGCGUUGUAUUAGCUAGUAGGUGAGGUAACGGCUCACCUAGGCGACGAUACAUAGCCGACCUGAGAGGGUGAUCGGCCACACUGGGACUGAGACACGGCCCAGACUCCUACGGGAGGCAGCAGUAGGGAAUCUUCGGCAAUGGGGGCAACCCUGACCGAGCAACGCCGCGUGAGUGAAGAAGGUUUUCGGAUCGUAAAGCUCUGUUGUAAGUCAAGAACGAGUGUGAGAGUGGAAAGUUCACACUGUGACGGUAGCUUACCAGAAAGGGACGGCUAACUACGUGCCAGCAGCCGCGGUAAUACGUAGGUCCCGAGCGUUGUCCGGAUUUAUUGGGCGUAAAGCGAGCGCAGGCGGUUUGAUAAGUCUGAAGUUAAAGGCUGUGGCUCAACCAUAGUUCGCUUUGGAAACUGUCAAACUUGAGUGCAGAAGGGGAGAGUGGAAUUCCAUGUGUAGCGGUGAAAUGCGUAGAUAUAUGGAGGAACACCGGUGGCGAAAGCGGCUCUCUGGUCUGUAACUGACGCUGAGGCUCGAAAGCGUGGGGAGCGAACAGGAUUAGAUACCCUGGUAGUCCACGCCGUAAACGAUGAGUGCUAGGUGUUGGAUCCUUUCCGGGAUUCAGUGCCGCAGCUAACGCAUUAAGCACUCCGCCUGGGGAGUACGACCGCAAGGUUGAAACUCAAAGGAAUUGACGGGGGCCCGCACAAGCGGUGGAGCAUGUGGUUUAAUUCGAAGCAACGCGAAGAACCUUACCAGGUCUUGACAUCCCGAUGCUAUUUCUAGAGAUAGAAAGUUACUUCGGUACAUCGGUGACAGGUGGUGCAUGGUUGUCGUCAGCUCGUGUCGUGAGAUGUUGGGUUAAGUCCCGCAACGAGCGCAACCCCUAUUGUUAGUUGCCAUCAUUCAGUUGGGCACUCUAGCGAGACUGCCGGUAAUAAACCGGAGGAAGGUGGGGAUGACGCCAAAUCAUCAUGCCCCUUAUGACCUGGGCUACACACGUGCUACAAUGGUUGGUACAACGAGUUGCGAGUCGGUGACGGCAAGCUAAUCUCUUAAAGCCAAUCUCAGUUCGGAUUGUAGGCUGCAACUCGCCUACAUGAAGUCGGAAUCGCUAGUAAUCGCGGAUCAGCACGCCGCGGUGAAUACGUUCCCGGGCCUUGUACACACCGCCCGUCACACCACGAGAGUUUGUAACACCCGAAGUCGGUGAGGUAACCUUUUGGAGCCAGCCGCCUAAGGUGGGA
RNAcentral lists this ribosomal RNA (1454 nucleotides) under uncultured organism. RNAcentral describes it as "16S ribosomal RNA". It matches the Rfam family "Bacterial small subunit ribosomal RNA". The record is from RNAcentral.